UGUCGUGAUCAGAAUUUGAAUCUGGGUUAUUUCGGCCACAACACAAUGUUCUAACCACUAGACGAUCACGCC
Non-coding RNA from Cordylochernes scorpioides, 72 nucleotides. The record is from the annotation of a GenBank genome assembly. NCBI's taxonomy places the organism in Eukaryota, Metazoa, Arthropoda, Arachnida, Pseudoscorpiones, Chernetidae.